GAUGAACGCUGGCGGCGUGCCUAACACAUGCAAGUCGAACGAAGUUAAACGCUGAAUUGAUGGUAGCUUGCUAUUGGAUUUUCUUGUUUAACUUAGUGGCGGACGGGUGAGUAACACGUGAGCAACCUGCCUUUCAGAGGGGGAUAACGGCUGGAAACGGUCGCUAAUACCGCAUGACAUAUUCGAGUGGCAUCACUUGGAUAUCAAAGGAGCAAUCCGCUGAAAGAUGGGCUCGCGUCCAAUUAGCUAGUUGGUGAGGUAACGGCCCACCAAGGCGACGAUUGGGUAGCCGGACUGAGGAGGUUGAAC
This 309-nucleotide ribosomal RNA is filed under the name uncultured bacterium. RNAcentral describes it as "bacterial SSU rRNA". It matches the Rfam family "Bacterial small subunit ribosomal RNA", at positions 28 to 305 of the family's 1533-position model. The record is from RNAcentral.